CCUACGGGUGGCAGCAGUGAGGAAUAUUGGUCAAUGGGCGGGAGCCUGAACCAGCCAAGCCGCGUGAAGGAAGAAGGCGCUAGGAGUCGUAAACUGCUUUUGUAGGGGGACAAAGGGCGCCACGCGUGGCGUUGUGAGUGUAUCCGAAGAAAAAGCAUCGGCUAACUCCGUGCCAGCAGCCGCGGUAAUACGGAGGAUUCGAGCGUUAUCCGGAUGUAUUGGGUUUAAAGGGUGCGUAGGCGGUCCGAAAAGUUAGCGGUAAAAGCCCGGGGCUAAACCCCGGCGAGCCGUUGAAACUGUUGGACUAGAGACGGCGAGAAGUACGCGGAAUGCGCGGUGUAGCGGUGAAAUGCAUAGAUAUCGCGCAGAACACCGAUUGCGAAGGCAGCGUACCG
Molecule: ribosomal RNA, 395 nt
Filed under: uncultured bacterium
Lineage: Bacteria
Description: partial 16S ribosomal RNA
Rfam family: Bacterial small subunit ribosomal RNA
Source: RNAcentral